CUAAAUCAAACGUAUUUAAAUUAGGUUCUAACAAGAAGAAUAUUGUAAUUUAAUUAGUAGUUAGCUGUAUUUUGUUGACGUUGUAUCUAGCUUCUACUAUGCACAUUAGAGUAGUAUAAAUACUCAUGUAUUAGUCAUUCAGCUUUCAAUGAAAAACAUGAGAGCAUUUUCUCACUUUCUUGUUUCUGGUAUCUAUAAGUUUAUAUAGCAUCAGAGCGGGUUUGAGAGAAAAAUAACCGUUCCUAGUAAGAAAAUUGAGAGAAAGAAAUUGUUCUGGCCAUUGAAGAAAUGGAAAAGAGUAGCAAAGCUAGGGUUUGCAGCACUAUGAAUCCAUCUAAAGAGAUUGUGAAAAAUCAAGAAGCACCAAAUGAUUUUCUGGCUUUGCAAGGGUCUGAUAAUCCCGGUAUGAUCCUCGCUUCUGCUCAGUUGACUGGAAAAAUUACAGAGCAUGGAGUAGGGCGAUGAAAUUUGCUCUAGGAGCGAAGAAUAAAUUGGCCUUUGUUGAUGAAAAAGUGGAAGCGCCGGAAGAGGGAUCUAAGGAUUUCGAAAAGUGGAAGAGAUGUGAUUACAUGGUCACAUCUUGGUUGCUGAAUUCAAUCUCGAAGGAUUUGGUUAAAGGCUUCAUUUACACAAUUUCAGCUCUUGCGCUAUGGGAGGAAUUGGCUGAGAGGUGUGGGGAGAGCAAUGACCCUAUGAUUUAUCAGAUCAAACGGAAAAUUGUUUCAAUAUCAUAAGAGAAUCUUUCUAUAGCUAGUUAUUACACAAAGUUGAAGCAGUUUUGGGAUGAAUUGGCUAACAUUGAAGUAAUUCCUUCUUGUACAUGUGGAUCUAUGAAAACAGCAACAGAUAUCUAUGAUAAAGAUAAGCUUAUGCAAUUCUUUAUGGCAUUAAGUGAUGUGUAUGAUCAGGUAUGGCGCCAAAUUCUUCAAACUGAUCCUUUGCCAAGUGUAAACAAGGCAUAUUCCAUGGUGUUAAGGGUUGAGACUCAAAGGGAAGUACAGUUAAAUAUCACUGAGCAUAUUGAUGCAGUAGUAUACAAGGCUUGUGCAAAGAUUUUAAGAAAUACGACCUUAAGAAAGGGCAUUGUGACUAUUGUAACAUGGAUGGUCUCACUGUGACCGGUUGUUUUAAAUUGACUAGAUUUCCAGAUUGGUUCAAGAAUAGGAAUAGGAAUACCAAUCAGAAUAGCUUUCAAGCCAGAUAUGCUGCUUAAGUGGAUUGUAGAAAUGUAGCUACUAAAGAAUUUAUCUCAGAUUCACCUCUAGAUAAAAGUGCCUCUAUUGAUCUCUUUAAGUAUGAGGAACUGAAUAAGUAAGCUAGAGUUAUUGCAGAUGGAAAAAGAGCAAGUUGGUUAAAGGCAAAGGAAUUGCAGCUAUAAACACGGACCUGAAGACUAAGGCAGCUGUGGCAGUUGGUAAAGAGGGCUGCAAAUAUUGCUUGUUGUGCUAUUGGUGUUCUUGCAGAGUACGUCAUGUUUUGCUACUUGGCUACCUGUGAUACAUAAGAUUGAAAACCGGCUUGGUUGUUGGAAAGGCAAGAUCAUGGCAGGCUAGCUUUAAUCAAAUCAAUGGUGUCCAAUUUGCCAAUCUAUUACCUCUUUAAGCAAGUAGGGAAGAAGAAUGAGAAUUAAUUAGAAACUUCUUUUGGUCCAGCCGUUGUAAUGUCAAGAAAUCACAGCUAAUCAACUGGCAAUCACUGAUGCAGCCCAAAAACAGAGAACUCCGAAUUGUAAACAUCACUUUGCAUAAUCAGGCGCUUCUUUUCAAAUGGCUAUGGAGGCUCCAAGAUCAGCAUAAUGCGAGGUGGUCAUUAGUGCUUAAAAACCAAGUAAAAUUUUAGGUCUUAUUGUGAAUAUAUUAAAAAAAAAAAAGUUGUAUUCUAUGGUUACUUAAAUUUAAAAUAUAGUAAAAUUACUUUAUUACAAAAAA
This is a long non-coding RNA of Hevea brasiliensis (rubber tree), 1928 nucleotides long. RefSeq lists it as uncharacterized. The record is from RefSeq and is a predicted model, not a curated record. Lineage: Eukaryota; Viridiplantae; Streptophyta; Magnoliopsida; Malpighiales; Euphorbiaceae. The transcript has 3 exons.